This 1003-nucleotide long non-coding RNA is filed under the name Salvator merianae (Argentine black and white tegu). RNAcentral describes it as "lncRNA (ENSSMRG00000021119.1)". The record is from RNAcentral. Lineage: Eukaryota; Metazoa; Chordata; Lepidosauria; Squamata; Teiidae.
CAGUUUCCUCCAAGGCUGCAAUUUCCUCUUCUCUUCGGAUGGAUUGAGGAGAAACUGCUUUCUGCAAAAUCCACAGAUUAUGUACAAAGCUCCCCAACCUACAUAGGCAUCUAGUCACUUUGAGGUAAAUCUGAAUAACCUUCGUAUCUUCAUAUAUGUGACCAAACAAGCUGAAAUUUGGGGAAAUGCAUGUCCACAUGUGGCAGAUUCAAACCAAAAUAAAAUUGAAAUGCAUAUCAAGAAUCACCCUUAGACAACAAAUUGCUGCAAUGAGCAUUAGCAGUGAUAAUAUUGAGAUGCAAUGUACUCUGAAUUUUCUAAACUACAGUACUUCAUCUUUUUGACAGGCUGGUGUUUUUUGAGAGGUAGGAGCUGGUCACCAGACUUCCAACUCUCCAGCACAUUUGGCAAGCUGCCUCCUCCUGCUGUCGAUCACUGUUCCAUCACUGUUGUGCCUGAUGCUUCAAAAUGUUAGGAUUAUGGCAGCUCCAGGUCUUCUAGCAAGUCAGCUGUGUUUCAUCUGUUUGCACUGCUCGUUCACCUCCUUGCUACUUUUCCUCAGAAGCAAUAGUGUAAAGACCCAAAAUAUGAUUGCCAUCCUGAAGUGGCCCUGACAGAGUCAUUGGAAGAANGCAGUGGUGGGAGCAGAGAAGAGCUUAGGCAGCAAUUAGCACCAAAGGAGGUAGAGAUAACCCUGUACUCAGCUACUGCCUUAACCUGCAUCUCCAUCCAGUUAAUCAGACUCUGAUAGAGCAGUUAUUUCUGAUGUAUAGGCUAGGGAUAUGAAUCUUUCCUCACUCUUUGAUAGCUACACUCCUAAUCAUAUGCAUGNGUGAAUUGUGUGUAUUUAUGUUUGCACAUGUUUGCAUUGUUUUGAAGACAUUUCAAAGAACCACAAUUUUCAACAUAAAUGUAAUCUGAGCUAAUAAGUGUACCAAAUGAAUCUGGAGACAGAGGAAGAUUGUAGGUAUACAAGCAAAUUCGCUAAUGAAAAAAUCUUGCC